CGUUACAAAGGUGUUUCUUAGUCUUAGGUUUAGUUUGUAUAGUAUUUCCGGUAGGUGCAGUUGUGUUGUAGUUUGAGUUAGUAAGUAGGCUUUAGUUGAUAGUUAGACAGCUUAGAGGAGUGUAGGUUAUUAUUGUAAUUAAGGUAUUUGUUAGUUAGUGCAUGAUUAGUGCUUGUGGUGGAUAGGUUUGCAUGAUUAACACCCUAACAAGCAGGGUUCUCCAUGAGCUGUUUUACUGUGUUGGUCCCGACACAGAAAAAUGUUCUCCGACACAGUAAAGAUUCAAAUUUUAUCUGUGCGACACAUUAAAAAUUUUGCUGACACAGUAAGAUCUGUGAUAAUAAAAAAAAAUUGAAACAUACAAAUUCUCUCUAUCUGAAACAUAAUUGAUCAAACAAUUCUACCGUCUUUCAAUUCUAUACGAUAUCUAGAUCACUUAAUUAUGCUUUCACCUUGCAUAAUCAAUUAUUUCCUAGACCCUCAAUGGACUUGACGCAUGAAGGAACAAAGACAAAAAAUUGGAUUUCAAACUUCCAUGUAACGCUUAAUUGGUACUAGUAGUUGCAAUUAAAGUACAUUGUAUUAUUUUUAAAAAUAUAUUUAAAUGUCUUUUCUUUAGAGCCAUGGCUCUAGAAUUAUGUUUGCAAUGUAAAUCAAACAUAACACUGUACCAAAAUCAUUUACUUGAUGUAAAUAAAUAGUUUUCAAUUUUCAAGGAACUUUUAAAAGUAUUUUACUAUUCCGAAGUCUCUUUUUUUGUAAUUCCUUAAUUCGAUCAAUAAAAUUGACAAAAAAAUUAUGACAAAUUUGCUUUAAAAAAUUGUAAGUAGUUCAACUUUAUAGACAAGAAUUUCCUCUGCAUUUCACAACAUGUGCUAAUAUGUUCGACCAUACUAUUUUUGUAACGAAUUGGUGAUUUUUUUUUUUUUUUUAAAUUGUGUGCAUGUAUUCUUAAGUAAUUAUAAUGAAUAGUGAGUCAGUUGCAAAUUUGAUCGCUAAAAUACCGUGAAAUUUUAGUGCUUUGCGUAAACUCUGCAACACAGUAAAAUUUCAAACAAUGGAGAACCCUGAACAAGUAACAAGCUACUAAAACUACUAACGUCUGCUAAAUGUUGUGUGACGCGUCUAGUGUGUUGGUGUUAGUGUCUGUGUGCUUGUCACCUCUCGCUUUCAGCCAUCACCGCUGGCUAGCAGCAAUGCGAAAAGGGGGAAGAAAUUCUAAUGACUUCCCCUGCCAGUACAUAGCCUCUCCACAACAAGUCCUAUGCGAUGCCUCCACGUGGAAGCAGACGGAUACUGGGUAUCAUUUUGUCCCAGGCUAAGUUCGCAAGGACGCACGGGAAGAUGAGUCUCAAAAGCAUUGGUAAACAUCUCAUAUAGGAUCUCUCCUGAUCACAAACCCAAUUUAGUAGUAGAAUCAAUUGAUAUAAGUGCUGGUUUUUAAAAGAAGUGAACCUUUGUUCAUUUUAUGUCUUUGUCAUCUUUUUAGCUCACCUGAGCCAAAGGCUAAAGUGAGCUUUUCUGAUCACAUUUUGUCCGUCGUCUGUCCGUCCGUCCAUCUGUAAACUUUUCACAUUUUCGACUUCUUCUCAAGAACCACUGGGCCAAUUUUGACCAAACUUGGUACCAAGCAUUCUUGAGUGAAGGGGAAUUUAAAUUGUUAAAAUGAAGGGCCAAGUCCCCUCACAAGGGGAGAUAAUCAAGAAAAGACAAAACUAGGGUGGGGUCAUUAAAAAAUCUUCUCAAGAACCACUGGGCCAGAAAAGCUGAAACUUCUGUGGAAGCAUCCUGGGGUAGUGUAGAUUCUAAAUUGUUCAAAUCAUGACCCCCGGCAGGUUGGGUGGGGCCACAAUGGGGAAUCAAAUUUUUACAUAGAAAUAUACAGGAAAAAUCUUUGAAAAUCUUCUGCUCAAGAACCACUGGGCCAGAAAAGCUGAAACUUGUGUGGAAGCAUCCUGGGGUAGUGUAGAUUCUAAAUUGUUCAAAUCAUGACCACCGGGGGUAGGGCGGGGCCACAAUGGGGAAUCAAAGUUUUACAUAGAAAUAUAUAGGAAAAAUCUUUGAAAAUCUUCUUCUUAAGAACCACUGGGCCAGAAAAGCUGAAACUUAUGUGGAAGCAUCCUGGGGUAGUGUAGAUUUCAAAUUGUCUAAAUUUUGAUCAGUGGGGUAGGGUGGGGUCACAAUAUGUGUUACAAGGGGGAAAUCUGGUAAAGAACAGAAUGGUCAAAGCUUCUCAGGUGAGCGAUGUGGCCCAUGGGCCUCUUGUUUGUAAAAUUUCACAUUUUCAUCUUUGGUCAAAUUCAACGAAACUUGGCAAAGAGUAUCCUUGGAUAAAUGCCAUUAUGGGAUUUAAGUUUAUUCAAAUGAAGGCCCACUCCCUCUUCAAAUGGAAGAUUACUACAAAUAAGAGAAAAAUUAAGGACAUCUUUUAAAAAUCUUCUUUUCAAGAACCACUGAGACAGGAAAGAGACACUUAUGUGGCAUCAUCCUCAGGUAGUGUAGAUUCAAAAUUAGUCAAAUCAAGACCCCAUGUUGGUGUCAGAAUAGGGGAUCAAAAAUAUAUAUAAUACUGUAGAUUCCUUAUUUUUCGCGAGUAAUUAUCGCGAAUAGGCUUUUCACCGUCAAAUCACAAGAAUAAUAAUUCGCAAAUGCAUGGUUGGUUAAGAGAUUUUACAUAGAUUUCAGCGCCAUAAAAAUAAAGGCGAGUAAUUUAAUUUUGUGUGUGGUGCUUCUCACGAAAUUACGCGAAAAUUAAUUCCACACACAUAUUUAGGAAUCUACAGUAUGUAGGGAUAUACUUUUUUUUUCUCAAGCCACAAUUAGUUAUAUUGAUAGCAAAUCAUCCUUUUUGGUAGUGAAGAUUUCAUUUUGUUCAAAUCAUGUCUACCGGGAAAAGGUUUGGGCCACAUUGGACAAUCAAAGUUUUACAUUGGAUUAUAUUGGAAAUAUUUUUAGAAAUCUUCUCAGAAACAAAUAUGUCAUGACUGGUGAUAUGUAUACGGUAGCAUCUUCAUGUAGUGUAGAUUUAAGUUUGUUCAAAUCAUGACUCCCAGGUGUAGGGCAGGGCCCCAAUGGUGGAUCAAAAUGGACAGGGGAAUACUGUAAAUCACUUUUUAUUCGCGAGAACUUUAUUUUCACAUUAUUACGCGAGACGGUAUGGUCGCGAAAAUUUGAUUCUCGCGUAUAAUAUAAUUCCUUAAGAUUAUAUAGAGCAAUGACCACAAUUUUGAAAAUUUUGUCUCGCUAAUGAAGAGUCAUUGACUAUCUCGCGAAAAUAAGGUGUCGCGAAAAUUAAGUGAUUUACAGUAUAUAGGAAACGUCUUCUCAAUAAUACCAAAGCCAUAUAUAGUCAUAUUGAUAUGGAAGCAUCCUUAGGUAGUGUAGAUUCAAAUUUGUCCAAAUCUUGAUUCCAGGGGGCAGGGAGGGGCAUCAAUGGGGAUAAAAUUUUAACAAAGGAAUAUAUAGGAAAAAAUUUUAUGUUCAAGAACAGCUAAGCCAUUGUUAUUGAUAUGAAAAUGUCUCCAGGUAGUUAUUCAAGCCCCCUUCUCCUCUUCCUAAAUUUUAUACUUUUCAAUACUGGACUAAUUUGUCAUUUACUAGCCAAUAUGCUUAGGUGAGCAUAUUGCCCAUUGGCCACUAGUUUAUUUUAGAAAUCUUCUCACUUGGUAUGAAGUGCAAGUGAUCCCCUUUUGGUGUCUGUUAAUUUUUAUCUUUUUAAGAGGAAUACUUUUAAGGCUGAACAGGAUCCUGAAGUGAGGAGGACUCCCUCUCUCAUUGAACUGCAUACAGCAGCAGAAAGCAGGAUUUCAGUUCCCCUUUGAUUCAGAAGAGGAACAACAAUGGAGGACCAAGGUCAUUAAUAUAAGAAGAGUCUAUUCCUGUCUGUGUUUUGCAGGUAUUAUGUUUCAAAAGUGCAGAAGAAAGUUAAGACUGACCAGGAAUUCUAAGUGAGGAAGAGUCCCUUUCCCAUUCCGCUGCAGCCAUGAGGAGAAUACUCGUAAGAAUCAGACUUUACUUCUUUUUUACCUAUGGAACUUCAUCAUGACCCACUUUAACAGGCAGGAGUCUUACAAGUAUUUUUUAUUUAAUUAUUUCUGACAUAUCUUUGUCCUCCCUACUCUAAAGUAACUAUGCUUUCCUCUCCUUGCCCCAAUAUUCCACCUUAUUCCUAGCUAUCAUAACCUUAUUGUCUUUAUUUGCUUUUUGAUUUUCAAGCUAAUAAUGUUGUAAUGAUUAUGUUCAUUUGAAUUUCUGUGAUUAUUACAUUGCUUUGUAUUAUUGCUUAUCUUCUCUCCAUCAAGUAUUUUCAAGGAAUUUGACAAGGGAAGAGGACCAGUGCUGACCAAGUGAAGAAAAAGAAGAGUCUAUUGCCAAGCUUUGUACAGCAGCCAAUAUCUGAUUAAGGAGUGGGCAGACGGUUAUGCUGGCAUUGAUCCUGUUUCCAAAAGCAGAUCAACAUGAUUCCUCAAGACUCCAAAGAGAUCAACUAUGGGACCUGAAAAUAAAGGCAGACUGCCAUCAAUUUCAUGUUUCUUUGAUAGCAGACAAAUAUGCUUCAACAAUAGUGCAGAGAGUAAUUUAAGGUUUGGACUGCAAGUGAUGGACACACUAAAUAACUCAACUCAAAGAAUUCAAUGGAUAGUGCUGAGUACAUUAUUAU
This is a long non-coding RNA of Saccostrea cuccullata (small rock oyster), 4660 nucleotides long. RefSeq lists it as uncharacterized. The record is from RefSeq and is a predicted model, not a curated record. NCBI's taxonomy places the organism in Eukaryota, Metazoa, Mollusca, Bivalvia, Ostreida, Ostreidae. The transcript has 5 exons.